GAUGAACGCUGGCGGCGUGCCUAAUACAUGCCAGUCGAGCGAACAGACGAGGAGCUUGCUCCUUUGACGUUAGCGGCGGACGGGUGAGUAACACGUAGGUAACCUACCUAUAAGACUGGGAUAACUUCGGGAAACCGGAGCUAAUACCGGAUAAUAUUUCGAACCGCAUGGUUCGAUAGUGAAAGAUGGCUUUGCUAUCACUUAUAGAUGGACCUGCGCCGUAUUAGCUAGUUGGUAAGGUAACGGCUUACCAAGGCAACGAUACGUAGCCGACCUGAGAGGGUGAUCGGCCACACUGGAACUGAGACACGGUACAGAAUCCUACGGGAGGCAGCAGUAGGGAAUCUUCCGCAAUGGGCGAAAGCCUGACGGAGCAACGACGCGUGAGGGAUGAAGGUCUUCGGAUCGUAAAACUCUGUUAUUAGGGAAGAACAAACGUGUAAGUAACUGUGCACGUCGUGACGGUACCUAAUCAGAAAGCCACGGCUAACUACGUG
RNAcentral lists this ribosomal RNA (497 nucleotides) under uncultured bacterium. RNAcentral describes it as "partial 16S ribosomal RNA". It matches the Rfam family "Bacterial small subunit ribosomal RNA", at positions 28 to 507 of the family's 1533-position model. The record is from RNAcentral.